AGAGUGAACGCUGGCGGCAGGCCUAACACAUGCAAGUCGAACGGCAGCACAGUAAGAGCUUGCUCUUAUGGGUGGCGAGUGGCGGACGGGUGAGGAAUACAUCGGAAUCUGCCUAUUUGUGGGGGAUAACGUAGGGAAACUUACGCUAAUACCGCAUACGACCUACGGGUGAAAGCGGAGGACCUUCGGGCUUCGCGCAGAUAGAUGAGCCGAUGCCGGAUUAGCUAGUUGGUGGGUAAAGGCCCACCAAGGCGACGAUCCGUAGCUGGUCUGAGAGGAUGAUCAGCCACACUGGAACUGAGACACGGUCCAGACUCCUACGGGAGCAGCAGUGGGAAUAUUGGACAAUGGGCGCAAGCCUGAUCCAGCCAUGCCGCGUGAGUGAAGAAGGUCCCUUGGUUGUAAAGCUUCGUUUUUGUAGGGAAGAAAGCAAGUCGGUUAAUACCCGGUUGUUCGUAGACGGUACCAAAGAAUAAGCACCGACUAAC
Molecule: ribosomal RNA, 488 nt
Filed under: uncultured soil bacterium
Lineage: Bacteria
Description: bacterial SSU rRNA
Rfam family: Bacterial small subunit ribosomal RNA
Source: RNAcentral